RNAcentral lists this ribosomal RNA (401 nucleotides) under uncultured bacterium. RNAcentral's name for it is "bacterial SSU rRNA". It matches the Rfam family "Bacterial small subunit ribosomal RNA", at positions 356 to 774 of the family's 1533-position model. The record is from RNAcentral.
GGGGAAUAUUGGACAAUGGGCGCAAGCCUGAUCCAGCCAUGCCGCGUGAGUGAUGAAGGCCUUAGGGUUGUAAAGCUCUUUUAGCGGGGAAGGUAAUGACGGUACCCGCAGAAAAAGCCCCGGCUAACUUCGUGCCAGCAGCCGCGGUAAUACGAAGGGGGCUAGCGUUGCUCGGAAUUACUGGGCGUAAAGCGCACGUAGGCGGACUCUUAAGUCGGUGGUGAAAUCCUGGAGCUCAACUCCAGAACUGCCUUCGAUACUGGGAGUCUUGAGUUCGGGAGAGGUGAGUGGAACUGCGAGUGUAGAGGUGAAAUUCGUAGAUAUUCGCAAGAACACCAGUGGCGAAGGCGGCUCACUGGCCCGAUACUGACGCUGAGGUGCGAAAGCGUGGGGAGCAAACA